UGGCUUAGUGGUAAAGAAUCCGCCUGCGGUGCAGAAGCUGCAGGUUCAAUCCCUGC
RNAcentral lists this transfer RNA (56 nucleotides) under Bos taurus (domestic cattle). It matches the Rfam family "tRNA", at positions 8 to 63 of the family's 71-position model. From Rfam's summary of the family: Transfer RNA (tRNA) molecules are approximately 80 nucleotides in length. Their secondary structure includes four short double-helical elements and three loops (D, anti-codon, and T loops). Lineage: Eukaryota; Metazoa; Chordata; Mammalia; Artiodactyla; Bovidae. The record is from Rfam by way of RNAcentral. RNAcentral also lists the same sequence under 1 other name.